AACGAACGCUGGCGGCAUGCCUAACACAUGCAAGUCGAACGAGACCUUCGGGUCUAGUGGCGCACGGGGGCGUAACGCGUGGGAACCUGCCCUUAGGUUCGGAAUAACUCCCCGAAAGGGGUGCUAAUACCGGAUAAUGUCUUCGGACCAAAGAUUUAUCGCCUUUGGAUGGGCCCGCGUUGGAUUAGCUAGUUGGUAGGGUAAAAGCCUACCAAGGCGACGAUCCAUAGCUGGUCUGAGAGGAUGAUCAGCCACACUGGGACUGAGGCACGGCCCAGACUCCUACGGGAGGCAGCAGUGGGGAAUAUUGGACAAUGGGCGAAAGCCUGAUCCAGCAGUGCCGCGUGAGUGAUGAAGGCCUUAGGGUUGUAAAGCUCUUUUACCCGGGAUGAUAAUGACAGUACCGGGAGAAUAAGCUCCGGCUAACUCCGUG
Molecule: ribosomal RNA, 433 nt
Filed under: uncultured bacterium
Lineage: Bacteria
Description: partial 16S ribosomal RNA
Rfam family: Bacterial small subunit ribosomal RNA
Source: RNAcentral